AGAGGAAGCCGGUGCGAAUCCGGCGCGGUCCCGCCACUGUCACCGGGGAGCGGUCCCCCAUACCGGAAGUCACGGCACGCGCGAGCGGGCUGGAAGGCCGGGGGAACCGCGGAUCCGGGAGCCAGGAGACUC
RNAcentral lists this non-coding RNA (132 nucleotides) under Streptomyces atratus. Lineage: Bacteria; Bacillati; Actinomycetota; Actinomycetes; Kitasatosporales; Streptomycetaceae. The record is from RNAcentral.